GGGCCUGCGUUUCAUUAGCUUGUUGGUGAGGUAAAGGCUCACCAAGGCGACGAUGGGUAGCUGGUCUGAGAGGACGAUCAGCCACACUGGAACUGGAACACGGUCUAGACUCCUACGGGAGGCAGCAGUGAGGAAUAUUGCGCAAUGGGGGAAACCCUGACGCAGCGAUGCCGCGUGGGUGAAGAAGGCCUUCGGGUCGUAAAGCCCUGUCAGGCGGGAAGAAUAGUCUGGGGACGAAUAAUCCCCAGGCAUGACGGUACCGCUGAAGGAAGCACCGGCUAACUCCGUGCCAGCAGCCGCGGUAAGACGGAGGGUGCGAGCGUUAUUCGGAAUUAUUGGGCGUAAAGGGUGUGCAGGCGGUCGGUCAAGUCAGAUGUGAAAGCCCGGGGCUCAACCCCGGAAGUGCAUUUGAAACUGGUCGACUUGAGUUCGGGAGAGGGAAGCGGAAUUCCGGGUGUAGAGGUGAAAUUCGUAGAUAUCCGGAGGAACACCGGUGGCGAAGGCGGCUUCCUGGACCGAAACUGACGCUGAGACACGAAAGCGUGGGGAGCAAACAGGAUUAGAUACCCUGGUAGUCCACGCUGUAAACGAUGAAUGCUAGGUGCCGGGC
This 610-nucleotide ribosomal RNA is filed under the name uncultured Desulfobacteraceae bacterium. RNAcentral's name for it is "bacterial SSU rRNA". It matches the Rfam family "Bacterial small subunit ribosomal RNA", at positions 227 to 828 of the family's 1533-position model. Lineage: Bacteria; Pseudomonadati; Thermodesulfobacteriota; Desulfobacteria; Desulfobacterales; Desulfobacteraceae. The record is from RNAcentral.